This 550-nucleotide long non-coding RNA is filed under the name Mytilus galloprovincialis (Mediterranean mussel). The record is from RNAcentral. Lineage: Eukaryota; Metazoa; Mollusca; Bivalvia; Mytilida; Mytilidae.
UGUGAAGAUAAUUUAAAGUGAGAUGUUCAUCAUAAUGAAAUACAAUAAAUUGGCAGUGCAAACAAGCAGUGAGUGAGCUAAGUGUUUUAUGUAUUUAGGGUCUUAUCAGAUCUAGAUCUUCUAAUAUAUAUAUACACAUUUGUAUUAGGGUUCAGUUUGUAGUUUCAGGUCAAGUUCCAGUCGAUGUUAGACAUUCACAGCAUUCUUGAAUUAUUUAACCAGUAGUGGAUAGAAAUAUUGUUGUUACAAAUUAAAGAUUCUAAAAGGUAGGUUUUAAUAGCACAAUAAAUUGAUACCGACUCUUUACCAUUAAACACAAGCCUGUUUUGAGCAUUGUGCUCUUUGUGGGGUAUUCUAUGGCGAAAUCCCCAUAUACUGUCACUACAUGUAAUGAGUCAAUUAAUGUUUCUAAAGAACAUAAAUGUAAUAUUCUUAAUUUACAUAGCAAGAAGAGAAUAAGGAAUAUCAAAUGAACCAAACAUGUUUUCAUUCCAGCUAUCAUCAAUUCACAAUUUCUUUUUUCUUCUCGAAUAACAUUUAAAUAAAAAAU